RNAcentral lists this transfer RNA (71 nucleotides) under Tyto alba (common barn owl). It matches the Rfam family "tRNA". From Rfam's summary of the family: Transfer RNA (tRNA) molecules are approximately 80 nucleotides in length. Their secondary structure includes four short double-helical elements and three loops (D, anti-codon, and T loops). Further hydrogen bonds mediate the characteristic L-shaped molecular structure. tRNAs have two regions of fundamental functional importance: the anti-codon, which is responsible for specific mRNA codon recognition, and the 3' end, to which the tRNAs corresponding amino acid is attached (by aminoacyl-tRNA synthetases). tRNAs cope with the degeneracy of the genetic code in two manners: having more than one tRNA (with a specific anti-codon) for a particular amino acid; and 'wobble' base-pairing, i.e. permitting non-standard base-pairing at the 3rd anti-codon position. Lineage: Eukaryota; Metazoa; Chordata; Aves; Strigiformes; Tytonidae. RNAcentral also lists the same sequence under 14 other names. The record is from Rfam by way of RNAcentral.
UAGGAAAUAAUAUAGAGGAAGUAUGAAGGGCUUUGGUCUCUUUUGUGUAGGUUCGACUCCUACUUUUCUAA